RNAcentral lists this ribosomal RNA (464 nucleotides) under Vreelandella stevensii. RNAcentral describes it as "partial 16S ribosomal RNA". It matches the Rfam family "Bacterial small subunit ribosomal RNA", at positions 338 to 795 of the family's 1533-position model. Lineage: Bacteria; Pseudomonadati; Pseudomonadota; Gammaproteobacteria; Oceanospirillales; Halomonadaceae. The record is from RNAcentral.
CCUACGGGAGGCUGCAGUGGGGAAUAUUGGACAAUGGGGGGAACCCUGAUCCAGCCAUGCCGCGUGUGUGAAGAAGGCCCUCGGGUUGUAAAGCACUUUCAGUGAGGAAGAACGCCUGGUGGUUAAUACCCAUCAGGAAAGACAUCACUCACAGAAGAAGCACCGGCUAACUCCGUGCCAGCAGCCGCGGUAAUAGGAGGGUGCGAGCGUUAAUCGGAAUUACUGGGCGUAAAGCGCGCGUAGGUGGCUUGAUAAGCCGGUUGUGAAAGCCCCGGGCUCAACCUGGGAACGGCAUCCGGAACUGUCAAGCUAGAGUGCAGGAGAGGAAGGUAGAAUUCCCGGUGUAGCGGUGAAAUGCGUAGAGAUCGGGAGGAAUACCAGUGGCGAAGGCGGCCUUCUGGACUGACACUGACACUGAGGUGCGAAAGCGUGGGUAGCAAACAGGAUUAGAUACCCUUGUAGUC